This 160-nucleotide small nuclear RNA is filed under the name Sorghum bicolor (sorghum). RNAcentral's name for it is "U1 spliceosomal RNA". It matches the Rfam family "U1 spliceosomal RNA". From Rfam's summary of the family: U1 is a small nuclear RNA (snRNA) component of the spliceosome (involved in pre-mRNA splicing). Its 5' end forms complementary base pairs with the 5' splice junction, thus defining the 5' donor site of an intron. There are significant differences in sequence and secondary structure between metazoan and yeast U1 snRNAs, the latter being much longer (568 nucleotides as compared to 164 nucleotides in human). Lineage: Eukaryota; Viridiplantae; Streptophyta; Magnoliopsida; Poales; Poaceae. The record is from Rfam by way of RNAcentral.
AUACUUACCUGGACGGGGUCGAUGGGCGAUCAUUAAGGCCCAUGGCCUGGAUCAGUGGCCCACAUUGCACUUGGUGGGUGCGCUGAUCUACCAUCUCCCCAAGUGGGAGAGUGGACGUCGUAAUUUGUGGUAGAGGGGGUACGCGUUCGCGCGGCCCCUG